GUUUUGAUCCUAAACUUAAUACUAUUUUUAAUCAAAAUUAUACAUGCAAGCACCCGCACACCAGUGAGAAUGCCCAAAGACACAAAAAGGAGCAGGUAUCAGGCACAAACCACCUUGGCCAACAACACCUUGUUACACCACACCUACACCAGGUCUACAGCAGUAAUUAAAAUUAGGCCAUAAGUGCAAACUUGACCUAGCUAUGAUCAACAAUGCCGGUAAAUUCCGUGCCAGCAACCGCGGUUAUACGAAAGGCCACAAAUAAUUAACCAACGGCGCAAAGCGUGACUAGAUCACACACCCAGACUUUUAAAGAACCAAACCUAAGCUCAGCAGUAAUAUGCCAAAACUAAAAGAAGUACCAGAAGCCUUUAAAACUAGGGAUCAUUAACUCACGAAAACUAAGAAACAAACUAGGAUUAGAUACCCUACUAUGCUUAGUCGUAACCCCAGACUCAACCAACACUCCGCCAGAGAACUACAAGUGAAAAACUUAAAACCCAAAGGAUUUGACGGUGCUCCACCCAACCUAGAGGAGCCUGUUCU
Molecule: ribosomal RNA, 546 nt
Filed under: Diploglossus lessonae
Lineage: Eukaryota; Metazoa; Chordata; Lepidosauria; Squamata; Diploglossidae
Description: partial 12S ribosomal RNA
Rfam family: Bacterial small subunit ribosomal RNA
Source: RNAcentral